This 74-nucleotide transfer RNA is filed under the name Bacteroidales bacterium. RNAcentral's name for it is "tRNA-Asp". It matches the Rfam family "tRNA". From Rfam's summary of the family: Transfer RNA (tRNA) molecules are approximately 80 nucleotides in length. Their secondary structure includes four short double-helical elements and three loops (D, anti-codon, and T loops). The record is from RNAcentral. Lineage: Bacteria; Pseudomonadati; Bacteroidota; Bacteroidia; Bacteroidales. RNAcentral also lists the same sequence under 1 other name.
GGUGCGUUAGUUCAGCUGGUUAGAAUACAUGCCUGUCACGCAUGGGGUCAGGGGUUCAAGUCCCCUACGCACCG